Molecule: long non-coding RNA, 2537 nt
Organism: Patella vulgata (common limpet)
Lineage: Eukaryota; Metazoa; Mollusca; Gastropoda; Patellidae
Exons: 2
Source: RefSeq, a predicted model, not a curated record
UAAUGUUCAUUGAAAAAUUUUAUAGGCCUAUUUCAAAUAGAAUUUUAAUAUCGUUAAUUAUUUAAUUUUUAAAAAAAAAAAAUGAAAGCCUACAUUAAUUAAUUAACAAAAAUCAUAAAAGCACACAGUGAGUCAACGUUGGGGCCAAAGGUAUUUUAUCUUGGAAAACAACCAACGGCUCAAAUCUGUUUAUUGGAAAACGUGAUAUGCCUAUUUGAAAUUCGAUUUUAAUACUCUUAAAUUAUUUUUUUAUAUUUUAAUGAAAGCUUACUUUAUUAACAUAACAUAAAAAAGAAAAUCACACAGUAAUAAGCUCUAGAAGACAAAGGUAAAUCAUGUUGAUGUUGAGUAAAAUAGGCCUUAUCCAAAAAAGGGCGUGUCACUUUGACAUUUUCAAAUGGUCCAUUUUAAGGUGUAUGGAAAUUACAUUUCAAAUCUGGGAAUCGAAACAACAAAAAUCGACAAUAAUUUACGGCCUUAUAGACCAAUUCAUAAACCGUCACAAAUGCCGUCUCUCAAUUCAUUCCGGACUGUACCACGCUUUAUCUAUGCAUGUUUUAAAAAUAUGAAUCAUGUUUUAUAAAUUCCCGAAAAAAACACACAACUAACGUAUGAUUGUAUGUGAUAAUUCUCGGUAGUUUUGUUACCGAAAAUACUAUAAAACUACGAAAUUAAAGAGAUUUAGUUCAUCGAUAUAGAUAUCGUAACGUCGUUGAGCGAACUGUCAGUGUGCGUUUUAUUACAGACAAUUUCCAAGAUGCAUUGCGCGUCGCUGUGUUACUAUGCGCCGUAAUGCGAGUCGCCACUCUGUGUAUUUUUACUCUGUGCUAAUAAUGGUACCGUAAUAAAAGUAAUAAGCUAAUAAUAUGUAAUAGCCAAAAUUUACACUUUUAACUCAUCGUAGCAGAUUAGGGCUUCCUUUUUUAUAUUAUAAUUAUAAUUUAUUAUUGUUUUAUUAGCAUUAACUUAAAACUGCAUUACAUCCUUAUUGGUUUAUUUAUGUUUCUGAUCACUUGUACUCCAAUAUGGGAUUACAUUAUAUAUUUUCCCAAGAACUCAAUAAAACCAAUCAAAAGUAUUAACUUUUAAAUCACUGACUUGAGAGGACUAAUUAAGCUGUUCCUUGUCUUUGAAAUACUAAAUACCGACAAUGGUUUUAUAUCAGAAACCGAUUUUUAUUUAUUUAGUUUUUUUUCAAUCCAGAAAAUUCAUGAAGCUUAAGGCAGACAAGACGGAGAAAAGCUGGUUGACUGGGAAGGCGACUAUAGUAGGGUCUGCCAUCAAGAAGAUGGAGAAAGUUGUGGGGGUUUUAUGUAUGCGGAGGCUUUAAUGGUGGGCGUUCAUUCCAUAAUAACGAGGAUGCAACAUGUACCAAUAUAUAGAAAAUAUAUUGCUGGGGCAUUAGUAUAUACUAUAACCAACACAUCAACCCUUUGUGACCCGUCAGCUACAUGCCUGAGGCCGAAAAACAAACUUAUACAAUGGAUAGAAUGUGACAAUUGUGUGCAUGGACUGCAUGUUAAAUGUGCAUUGGAUCAAUGCGGGAGAUUUUUAAAGUGCAUUAUUAAAGUGGGGUCUCAGGUUAGGAGCAGAACAGUGGGACGUUAAACCCCAUUUCAUUUCAUUUAUUAAAGUGGGUAUGCCCGUCUGUCUGUCCAUCACACUUUUUGGAACACAAUAACUCUGCUUUUAUUGAACUAGACUAUUCAAACUUGCUGUAUGUGGUUAUUAGGUGAAUGCUUUAACAGUGUUUGAUGAUAAGCAUUUUCAGCUUAGACGGAGAUAAAUUCCUGGAUUAUGACCCCUAAAAAUUCCAGUUUAUAGCUUGUGGUCCCUAUAGAGGUCAGAAUAUUUAUUCGACUUUAUAAUCUGUUCAAAUAUAUCAGCCUUACAUCCUAAUGAUGGAUGAGUUUGAGUUCAUUCGACUGAAACUGCCUGACAAAAAUGGCAGCUCCAGGUAAUUAAUACCAGGGUUGUGAACCCUCUAAAGGGUCACAGUUUGUGUCUGAUUUUGAUGAAACUUAUGAUUAGGUUGUGGACCCAUGAAAUGUCUCAAUUGUUAUCCGAUGUUAAAAAUCAUUUAAUAUCCGAUUGACUUUUUAUACACAAUGUUUAAGGUCGUCAGAUGAAGACGCCUUUGAGUUUUUAAAUAUUUCUGAUAAUUACUGCCAGAGUUAUGGACCUUUAUUACUAGAAGCCAAACAAAUUCUACUGAUUUUCUAUUAAUUACCUAAUGAGUUGUUACUCUUAAUCAUAUUUUAGUGUAUUAUAAAUGCUUCAUUGCGAACAAAAGAAAAAAUAUGUGACGACUUAGCUGCGGUUUGCGUAUGUAUCGUUGCCUGGCAGCCUAUCUUUUUAGAUUGUUCUGUCCAUCUCUCGCUAAUGUGGACGUAUGACAACCGCUUGUUCAAUACUGUGUUUUUGUACAUUUAUAUAUAUUUAAAUUAGUGAAUAGUUAAUUGGGGAUUAUUUGAUAUAUAGGGAUUAUUGUUACAUGGGGAUUAUUACCUAUCUGUAAUAAAGAAUUCUUGAAGGGA